GUUGAACGCUGGCGGCGGGCCUAACACAUGCAAGUCGAGCGGAUAAAGGGAGCUUUCUCCUGGCUUCCGCGUGGGACGGGUGAGUGAUGCCUAGGAAUCUACCUUGUAUUUGGGGCUAACAUCCGGAAGCGAACGCUAAUCCCACAUCCGUCCUGAUGUUGAACCUCGGGGAUCUUUGGACCUCACCCUAUCUGCUGACCCUAGGUCGGAUUAGCUAGUUGGUUGGGUAAAGGCCUACCAAGGCGACGAUCCGUAGCUGGUCUGAGAGGAUGAUCAGUCACACUGGAACUGAGACACGGUCCAGACUCCUACGGGAGGCAGCAGUGGGGAAUAUUGGGCAAUGGGCGAAAGCCUGAUGCAGCCACGCCGCGUGUGUGAAGAAGGUCUUCGGAUUGUAAAGCACUGUAAGUUGGGAGGAAGGGCAGUAAGUUAAUACAUUGCUGUUUUGACGGUACCAAAUGAAUAAGCACCGGCUAACUACGUG
RNAcentral lists this ribosomal RNA (484 nucleotides) under uncultured bacterium. Its description in RNAcentral is "partial 16S ribosomal RNA". It matches the Rfam family "Bacterial small subunit ribosomal RNA", at positions 28 to 507 of the family's 1533-position model. The record is from RNAcentral.